AUAAAUACCGAAAUUCAUCAUAUGAAGGGCAAGAACGACCAAGGAGAAGGGAGAGACCAAAAUUGGAGGCAAGAAACUUGAUUUCGGAUUCAAUUUCACACGGGCUCGAGCCGGGAUUGAAGAUUAUACACACGGAUUGAAGAAAUUCCAUACGGGUGUAUUCUUAUUAUCUUUUAAUUUCGUUUUUCAAUUUCUUGAUUUUGUAAUGAUGAUUAUAGGCUAGGGUUUUUGUUCAUUAGGAAUUUGAUGAACCUUUUGAUGAUUUAAAUUUCCGUUAUUUCAU
This 283-nucleotide long non-coding RNA is filed under the name Olea europaea (common olive). RNAcentral's name for it is "long non-coding RNA (OEUR_LNC015604)". Lineage: Eukaryota; Viridiplantae; Streptophyta; Magnoliopsida; Lamiales; Oleaceae. The record is from RNAcentral.